Molecule: ribosomal RNA, 502 nt
Filed under: uncultured bacterium
Lineage: Bacteria
Description: bacterial SSU rRNA
Rfam family: Bacterial small subunit ribosomal RNA
Source: RNAcentral
GAUCCUGGCUCAGGAUGAACGCUAGCUACAGGCUUAACACAUGCAAGUCGAGGGGCAGCAUGAACUUAGCUUGCUAAGUUGAUGGCGACCGGCGCACGGGUGAGUAACACGUAUCCAACCUUCCGUUUACUCAGGGAUAGCCUUUCGAAAGAAAGAUUAAUACCUGAUAGUAUGGUGAGAUUGCAUGAUAACACCAUUAAAGAUUUAUUGGUAAACGAUGGGGAUGCGUUCCAUUAGGUAGUAGGCGGGGUAACGGCCCACCUAGCCGACGAUGGAUAGGGGUUCUGAGAGGAAGGUCCCCCACAUUGGAACUGAGACACGGUCCAAACUCCUACGGGAGGCAGCAGUGAGGAAUAUUGGUCAAUGGACGAGAGUCUGAACCAGCCAAGUAGCGUGCAGGAUGACGGCCCUAUGGGUUGUAAACUGCUUUUAUAAGGGAAUAAAGUGAGUCUCGUGAGACUUUUUGCAUGUACCUUAUGAAUAAGGACCGGCUAAUUCCGUG